RNAcentral lists this long non-coding RNA (411 nucleotides) under Lupinus angustifolius (narrow-leaved blue lupine). Its description in RNAcentral is "long non-coding RNA (LANG_LNC002250)". The record is from RNAcentral. Lineage: Eukaryota; Viridiplantae; Streptophyta; Magnoliopsida; Fabales; Fabaceae.
UCGCAAGCCACAAGGAAUUACAACUAACAACAAAGUAGUACUAUCUUGAUGCUUAUCUUUAAUUAGAGCCAAAUCUAGAUAUGAAACAUCUCAGUGUCAACUCACCCAGUUUGCAACAUGGGUUCUUAGUCAUUAUCAUAUUGAUGCUUGUCUUAUUUUGCUUUUCAUCUUGCCACGUUGAAGGGUUGAGGCCUCUACCGCAACAUUAUUCACUUGGUUCAUCUACCUUCAAUCGCUUCAUGAUGGCUCAAACAUACUCUGGUCCAAGUCGAGGGGGAAAGGGUCAUAAUACUACUUCUUAAUGUUACAUAUAUGAAGAUCAAAUGAAGAUACUUUAUUAUUUGAUUUGUAUUACUUUUAUUUGAGAGUUAAUGUUGGUUAACAAAUGAAUAGUGAAUGAUUCGCUGACAG